Molecule: non-coding RNA, 632 nt
Organism: Phoenix dactylifera (date palm)
Lineage: Eukaryota; Viridiplantae; Streptophyta; Magnoliopsida; Arecales; Arecaceae
Source: RefSeq, a predicted model, not a curated record
AUCUGGAGACUUGGGAGGAAUAGCGGUGGAGAUCGGCAACUGUUGAGGCGGUUAUAACCGCCUGACAGCCACGAUCACUACCACUUCUCCCUCCCCGCUGAGCCUAUAAGAACCCAAGGAUUCUUCUCUCACUCCUUCUCAUGCCCUUCUCCUUCUGUGCAAGGAAUCGGAUCGGGAGCGACGCCUUCGGAGUAGGAGGCUGAGGCACCGGGGGAAGCGAUCAAGCUACCGGAAGAGCUGCUCGGCUCCUCCUCGGAGCAAGGUAUUGGAGAAUUGGCAUUUGGGUGAGCAAAUUAAGAUGAAUAGAAAGAUGCUAGGAACGAGGAGCGUGACAUGCUUCAGGAUUAUGGGAAAAAGAAAAUGACACAUUAAAUGUUUCUAUUUUAGAUGCUUUGUAAUCAAUCUUUUAUUGAUGAAACAUUUGUUAACAUUCAAGAAAGAAAUUGUUCAUAAUUGAUUUAAAGUUUUUAAAGUGGCUGAGUGUUAUUGCGGGCAAGGGUUUGCAAUAGCACGGCCGUGUCAUGAUCCGAUUUUGGGGCGUGACAAUUCAUGUCUUGUAAAGUUAUUCUAUAAUGCACUGGCACUUCUGCAGGACUUGCUCGAGAAGUGUUGAACCACUUGCUUCUCUUCUU